Molecule: ribosomal RNA, 481 nt
Filed under: uncultured Bacteroidota bacterium
Lineage: Bacteria; Pseudomonadati; Bacteroidota
Description: bacterial SSU rRNA
Rfam family: Bacterial small subunit ribosomal RNA
Source: RNAcentral
UGAGGAAUAUUGCGCAAUGGGCGAAAGCCUGACGCAGCCACGCCGCGUGGAGGAAGACACCCCUAUGGGGCGUAAACUCCUUUUGUGUGAGAAGAAGGCCCUGGUCUCCAGGGUUUGACGGUAUCGCACGAAUAAGCACCGGCUAACUCCGUGCCAGCAGCCGCGGUAAUACGGAGGGUGCAAGCGUUGUCCGGAUUCGCUGGGUGUAAAGGGUGUGUAGGCGGGCCUGUAAGUCAGGGGUGAAAUCCCACGGCUCAACCGUGGAACCGCCUUUGAUACUGCAGGUCUUGAGUCUCGGAGGGGUUGCUGGAAUUCGUGGUGUAGCGGUGAAAAUGCGUAGAUAUCACGAGGAACACCAGAGGCGUAGGCGGGCAACUGGACGAGUACUGACGCUGAGGCACGAAAAGCGUGGGGAGCAAACAGGAUUAGAUACCCUGGAGUCCACGCUGUAAACGAUGGAUGCUCGAUGUUGCCCGUUACC